Molecule: ribosomal RNA, 767 nt
Filed under: uncultured Actinomycetes bacterium
Lineage: Bacteria; Bacillati; Actinomycetota; Actinomycetes
Description: bacterial SSU rRNA
Rfam family: Bacterial small subunit ribosomal RNA
Source: RNAcentral
GCUUUAUACAUGCAAGUCGAACGAUGAAGUUCCUUCGGGAAUGGAUUAGUGGCGAACGGGUGAGGAACACGUGAGAAACCUGCCUUUCAUUCUGGGAUAACACCGGGAAACCGGUGCUAAUACCGGAUACUCCAUCUUGGCGGCAUCGCCGAGCUGGGAAAAAAUUUUGAUGAAAGAUGGUCUCGCGGCCUAUCAGCUAGUUGGUGAGGUAAAGGCUCACCAAGGCGACGACGGGUAGCCGGCCUGAGAGGGCGACCGGCCACACUGGGACUGAGACACGGCCCAGACUCCUACGGGAGGCAGCAGUAGGGAAUAUUGGGCAAUGGGCGAAAGCCUGACCCAGCGACGCCGCGUGAGGGAUGAAGGUCUUCGGAUUGUAAACCUCUUUCAGUAGGGAAGAAGCGAAAGUGACGGUACCUAAAGAAGAAGCACCGGCUAACUAUGUGCCAGCAGCCGCGGUAAUACAUAGGGUGCAAGCGUUGUCCGGAAUUAUUGGGCGUAAAGAGCUCGUAGGUCGUUUGUCGCGUCGAUUGUGAAAAUCUGAGGCUCAACCUCAGACCUGCAGUCGAUACGGGCAAACUAGAGUGUGGUAGGGGAGACUGGAAUUCCUGGUGUAGCGGUGGAAUGCGCAGAUAUCAGGAGGAACACCAAUGGCGAAGGCAGGUCUCUGGGCCAUAACUGACACUGAGGAGCGAAAGUGCGGGGAGCGAACAGGAUUAGAUACCCUGGUAGUCCGCACCGUAAACGGUGGGCACUAGUUGUGGGAA